UUUGAUCCUGGCUCAGAACGAACGCUGGCGGCGUGCUUAACACAUGCAAGUCGAACGCGAACAGUUUCUUCGGAAACCUAGUAGAGUGGCGCACGGGUGAGUAACGCGUAAGUUAUCUACCCUCCCAUCUGGAAUAACUCACCGAAAGGUGUGCUAAUACCGGAUACGUUGGAAACAAGAAAGGUGGCCUCUAUUUAUAAGCUACCGUGGGGGGAUGAGCUUGCGUACCAUUAGCUAGUUGGUAGGGUAAUGGCCUACCAAGGCAACGAUGGUUAGCGGGUCUGAGAGGAUGAUCCGCCACACUGGAACUGGAACACGGACCAGACUCCUACGGGAGGCAGCAGUGAGGAAUAUUGCGCAAUGGGGGAAACCCUGACGCAGCGACGCCGCGUGGAUGAUGAAGGCCUUUGGGUCGUAAAAUCCUGUCAGAUGGAAAGAAAUGUACAUGUGCUAAUAUCACUUGUAUUUGACGGUACCAUCAAAGGAAGCACCGGCUAACUCCGUGCCAGCAGCCGCGGUAAUACGGAGGGUGCAAGCGUUGUUCGGAAUUACUGGGCGUAAAGCGCGCGUAGGUGGCUUUUUAAGUCAGAUGUGAAAGUCCACGGCUCAACCGUGGAAGUGCAUUUGAAACUGGAAAGCUUGAGUAUUGGAGGGGGGUAGUGGAAUUCCCGGUGUAGAGGUGAAAUUCGUAGAUAUCGGGAGGAAUACCAGUGGCGAAGGCGACUACCUGGCCAAAUACUGACACUGAGGUGCGAAAGCGUGGGGAGCAAACAGGAUUAGAUACCCUGGUAGUCCACGCCGUAAACGAUGUCAACUAGGUGUUGGGAAGGUUAAUCUUCUCAUUGCCGCAGCUAACGCAUUAAGUUGACCGCCUGGGGAGUACGG
This 885-nucleotide ribosomal RNA is filed under the name uncultured bacterium. RNAcentral's name for it is "bacterial SSU rRNA". It matches the Rfam family "Bacterial small subunit ribosomal RNA", at positions 12 to 885 of the family's 1533-position model. The record is from RNAcentral.